RNAcentral lists this ribosomal RNA (573 nucleotides) under uncultured archaeon. Its description in RNAcentral is "bacterial SSU rRNA". It matches the Rfam family "Archaeal small subunit ribosomal RNA", at positions 745 to 1310 of the family's 1478-position model. The record is from RNAcentral.
UCCCGGCUGUUAAACGAUCCGGGCUAGGUGUUGGGCGGGUCUUAAACCCCGCCCAGUUCCGCCAGGGAAGCCGUUAAGCCCGCCGCCUGGGGAGUACGGCCCGCAAGGCUGAAACUUAAAGGAAUUGGCGGGGGAAGCACCACAAGGGGUGGAGCCUGCGGCUUAAUUGGAGUCAACGCCAGGAAUCUCACCCGGGGGCGACAGCAGGAUGACGGCCAGGCUGACGACCUUGCCCGACGCGCUGAGAGGAGGUGCAUGGCCGUCGCCAGCUCGUGUCGUGAGAUGUCCGGUUAAGUCCGGCAACGAGCGAGACCCCCGCCCCCAGUUGCGAUCCGGUCCUCCGGGACCGGAGCACACUGGGGGGACUGCCGCCGUGUAAGGCGGAGGAAGGAGGGGGCCACGGCAGGUCAGCAUGCCCCGAAACCCCCGGGCUGCACGCGGGCUACAAUGGCGGGGACAGCGGGCUUCCGACCCCGAAAGGGGGAGGGAAUCCCUUAAACCCCGCCGUAGUUGGGAUCGAGGGCUGCAACUCGCCCUCGUGAACGAGGAAUCCCUAGUAACCGCGCGUCAACU